This 373-nucleotide ribosomal RNA is filed under the name uncultured bacterium. RNAcentral's name for it is "bacterial SSU rRNA". It matches the Rfam family "Bacterial small subunit ribosomal RNA", at positions 917 to 1291 of the family's 1533-position model. The record is from RNAcentral.
GGGCCCGCACAAGCGGUGGAGUAUGUGGUUUAAUUCGAUGCAACGCGAAGAACCUUACCAGGGUUUGACAUCCUGCGAAUCUCUUGGAAACAGGAGAGUGCCUUCGGGAACGCAGUGACAGGUGGUGCAUGGCUGUCGUCAGCUCGUGUCGUGAGAUGUUGGGUUAAGUCCCGCAACGAGCGCAACCCACGUCUUUAGUUGCCAGCAUUUAGUUGGGGACUCAUAGGAGACUGCCGGUGAUAAACCGGAGGAAGGUGGGACGACGUCAAGUCAUCAUGCCCCUUAUGUCCAGGGCUGCACGCAUGCUACAAUGGCAAGUACAACGAGUCGCAAUACCGCGAGGUGGAGCAAAUCUCUUAAAAGCUUGUCUCAG